GAGCCCGCCCUACCAAGCCCGUGGCGCCGGAGGCGGAGUCGGGCUGCCCCGUGAGUGGAACGGGCGGGCUGAGGCAGCUGCCUCACUAUGGGCAGAGCCAUGGGACUGGUUGGAGGGCUCCUGGGGCUCGUCGUGAUCCCCGCCGUGCUGGUGAGCACCAGUCUCCGCCACGGCGCCCCGCGGACCGAGGCCGAGCCGGAGCCGUCCGGCUGGGAGCUGGCGGCAGACGCCGUCCCCGAGGACUCGCUGUGGCCGCUGCCGCAGUGGGUCCGCACGUACCCUCGCCAGCUGCAGCUAGCGCCCAGCCGCUUCCAGCUGGUGCAUGGCGCCGGCUCCUCGGCGGGGCCGGGCUGCGGGCUGCUGCAGGACGCCUUCCGCAGGUACUAUGAGUACAUGUUCGGGCAUUCCCGGCGGCGGAUGUGGAGCCGCCGGCCGCUGGCUGCCCGAGCGGAGCCCGAGCUGUUCCAGCUGCAGGUGGUGAUCGAGGCAGGGGACCCUGGCUGUGACAGGCACCCGCACCUCACCUCCAGCGAGGCCUACCAUUUAACUGUAACUGAGCCUGUGGCUAUACUGAAAGCUUCUGAGGUAUGGGGUGCUUUAAGAGGUUUGGAAACCUUCAGCCAGUUGGUUCAUGAAGAUGACUAUGGAAGCUUUCUUGUCAAUGAAUCUGAAAUCAAUGACUUCCCAAGAUUUGCUCAUAGAGGAGUCUUAUUAGAUACUUCAAGGCAUUAUUUACCUUUGAAAUCUAUUCUUACAAACCUGGAUGCCAUGGCUUUUAAUAAAUUCAAUGUUCUCCACUGGCAUAUAGUAGAUGAUCAGUCCUUCCCUUACCAGAGCAUUUAUUUCCCUGAAUUAAGUGAUAAGGGGGCAUACUCCUCUAAUCUCAUCUAUACUCCUACUGAUGUCCGUCUGGUGAUUGAGUAUGCCCGGUUAAGAGGCAUCAGAGUUAUCCCGGAGUUUGAUACGCCAGGACACACGCAGUCUUGGGGAAAAGGUCAAAAAGAUCUUCUCACUCCUUGUUACAAUGGAGGACAGCCAACUGGGUCCUUUGGACCCGUAAAUCCUGUUUGGAAUACAACUUAUGACUUCAUGACUAAGUUCUUUAAGGAGAUCAGCGGUGUAUUUCCAGAUGAAUUCAUUCAUUUGGGAGGAGAUGAAGUGGACUUCACUUGUUGGAAAUCUAACCCUGAGGUGAAAGAGUUCAUGAAGAAGCAAGGUUUUGGCAUUGACUAUGCUAAACUGGAAUCUUACUAUGUUCAGAACAUUUUGGACAUUGUUUCCUCCUACAACAAAGGACAAAUGGUCUGGCAAGAAGUGUUUGAUCACAAAGCACAACUGAAACCAGACACUGUAGUUCAAGUGUGGAUGGCAAAUAACUACACUCCUGAACUGAGCAGGGUCACGGGAGCUGGGUUCACUGCUGUCCUGUCAGCACCGUGGUACUUAGAUUACAUUAGUUAUGGGCAAGACUGGAAGAAAUACUACAGCGUUGAACCACUUAACUUCCCUGGAUCUGAAGAACAGAAGAAACUUUUAAUAGGUGGAGAAGCUUGCCUGUGGGGGGAAUUCGUGGAUGCAACUAACCUGACACCAAGAUUAUGGCCUCGAGCAAGUGCUGUUGGGGAAAGACUCUGGAGCAGCAGCAAUGUGACCAACUUGCAGGAUGCCUAUAAAAGGCUAACUAAUCAUCGAUGCCGCAUGCUCCGCCGUGGCAUAGCAGCUGAACCGGUGUUUGUUGGAUACUGUGCCCAUGAAGCAAGAGGGCCAUAACUGCUGCAAAGACUUCUUGUCAAGAGCCUGAAGUGCCUCAGGGGUACGAAUAUAUGUCCUCAAGAUAAAAAUUUACAAAGGAACAACUUGUGGUUGCAUCCCUGCUUUGCAAUCACGAGGUUAUGCCAGCAGAGCAGUCUCUUGAACCUUCCUCCCUGGACAGUUAAAAGCAAUCUUUUCAUACAGCUGUUAACUCAUUAUUUGCCAUCACCAGUUGGUCCCAGACAAAGACACUGGCGUACAUACAAAAAUAUUUGACAGGAGGAUAGAAAACACUGUUCCUAGAGAGUAAAGAUCACACCAGCCCCAUCCUCCUCUGAAGAAGUGCACUUUGCUCUUGACUGCUCAGGGCUUGAUAACUGGCAAGCUCCAAUGUGAAGGUUGCUGAACCCGAUGUUAGAGAACGCAAAACUGUUGAGUAGCCCUGGACAAAAUGGAGAAUACACAUCACUCAAGUUAGGAUAAGAGGAAGAUAAGUUAGCAUAAGAAGCUGCUUAGACCACAGAGAGAGAAAAAAAGAAUGUCAGAAGUAUACUGCAGUGUAGUAGUAAGUUAACUUUCCAAUAUUACCGCAUUAGAAUUGCAACACAUGCAUGAGUCAAUAGUAAUAUUUUUAAAAACCUGUUCUCCAUAAAACCUAUUUUAGUAGUAUUUACUAGUUCUCUAGCUUACAGCUGAAUACAUGCUGGUUUAGCAAUCUGAAUUUGGCAUAAAAAAGCUACUCAAUUUGUGGACACUUCCUUCUGACCUUCAAUAAUUAAAAUACAAUUUUAAAAAUACAUUCUAUAUUUAUUUAUCCAUAACUAAGGAAAAUUAAACUUAAGCCAAAUAUCUUAAAGCAUAUGAAAAAGAUCAGUUUUAUCAUUGGUAAGGUAAUCACAUACCAUCAUUUCUGCUAGUGGUACAGCAGCGACUACAACUCUGUUAUCUUGACGAGACUGGAUUUCCUGAAUAUUACCUCUCCGCUGUGCAAGAUCAGCAAGUGCUGCACUGAGAUGAUCUUCACUUACUGUGAUUUCUAAGUUCAUUAGGGGCUCCAGUAUUUGUAUACCAGCUUUUUUCAAAGCCUACAUGGAAAGGAAGGAAGUUACGCUGAUGUACUCCUAUGGGCUUUUUAAAAUAAAAUUGACUUGUAUCACUGAAGCUGACUCAAACUCUACUUGCAAAAGGUGUAAAUUCCCCAGCAAGGGCAUUACAAGGGCA
Molecule: RNA transcript, 2973 nt
Organism: Vidua chalybeata
Lineage: Eukaryota; Metazoa; Chordata; Aves; Passeriformes; Viduidae
Gene: HEXB
Gene name: hexosaminidase subunit beta
Exons: 15
Source: RefSeq, a predicted model, not a curated record